GCGUGAGAAAUUGCUCUUGGAUUCGGUUAACUGUCUAGCUCUGUUCCCCAGGAAACCAUGAAUGUCAGAAACCACAGAAUGUCAGCUGUGUUACUAGGCAACAUGGCUUAUGGUAAAAAUGACCCAUUGGUAAAUUGUUUGGGUCUGAGAGGGACUAAAAAUACCUGGAGAGUGGCUGUAACUUUGGACUUCUCCUAGUGUGGUGACUCCUGUAAUCGAGCCUGUACCCGGUGGGGAUCCUAGAAACCUUGCUCAUGGGUGGUCAUACAAGGAAGUGAGAAAAGGAUACUUGGUGCAGCGGUAACCACCGCCAGUAAAAGAAAGGUCAAGACCAUCAGCUGGGUCACCUGUGGUCGGAUAUUCUGCAAAAUGCUGCCAAAAGAACCAAAGUGAAACACCAGGAUAAACAAAAAGCUAGUCAGGAAAGUCAUAGCUCUGGGGUGCCUGGCUGGCUCAGUUGGUAGAGUAGGUGACUCCCGAUCUCAGGAUCGGGCGUUCAAGUCCUAUGUUGGGUAUAGAGACUGCUUAAGAAAAAUCAAAAUUAAAAAGAAAAGAAAAAAAGAGAAAGUCAUGGUUCAAAUGUGGAAAAAAAGGACAGGAUUUCGAGCAACUAAUGGAUUACAGGAAGAGAAUCCAUUUGUCUUUGACACUAGAAGCAUCAUCCUUCUGUUGGCCUGGGUCAUGAUACUGGCAUAGAGAGAAGGAAAUGUCACCAUAAUUACUUCAUCACUCUGCAAUGAAUAUCUGCAUAAUAAUUAAGACAUCAGACCAAUAUAAAAACCAAGCACCAAAGCCUUCAUUAAGGUUACAGAACAGAACAUAAAUGUUCUCCACCUUGUCAGUGUAAAAGGCACAGCUGACAGAGGUUGGAAGCUGGAGUGAGAGAGAGCAAAAACAGAAAGGACAAGCAGUGGGAAAGAGUAGGAUUUUAAUUUUGAAUCCCUGAAGACUAGAAAUCUCUAAGCAUAUUCCACUUGACCCAUUUUUUAACAGUUUUUAUUGAAAUAUAAUUCACAUACCAUAAAAUAUACCAGUUUACUUUUAGUCUUUUUAUUACUGAGUUAUUACAGUUCUUUAGAGAACUUCGAUAAAAGUCCCUUAUUAGAUAGAAAUUGCAAAUACUUUCUCCCAUUUUGUGGGUUGUCUUUUCACUUUCUUGAUGGUGUCCUUUGAGGCACAAAAGUUUUUAAUUGUGAUAAAGUCCAAUUUAUCUAUUUUAUUCUUUGUUGCUUGUGUGGUCAGUGUCCUACCUAAGAAGGCUUUGCCUAGCCAAGGUCAGUAAGAUUUAUUCAUAUUUUCUUCUACGAGUUUUAUCAUUUCUGCUGUUACAUUUAGGCCUAUGAUGCAUUUUUAGUUAAUCUGGGUGUAUGAUGUGAGGAGGAAGUUCAAAUUCGUUCUUUUGCAUGUAAAUCUCCAGGUUUCUCAGCACAAUUUGCUGAAAAGACUAUUCUUCCCCUAUUGAAUUUUCUUGGCACAUUUGUUUAAAAAAAAAAAAAAAAACCAUUGAUCAUAGAGUUUUAUUUCUGGAUUCUCAAUACUAUUCGGUUGAUUUAUACGUACUGACACUUUAAGGUGAAAUCCAGGUAAUGUAAGUAAGCAUUUUAAAGCGUAUGGCUCGGGGCGCCUGGGUGGCUCAGUCGGUUAAGCGUCCGACUUCGGCUCAGGUCAUGAUCUGGCGGUUUGUGAGUUCGAGGCCCGUGUCGGGCUCUCUGCUGACAGCUCAGAGCCUGGAGCCUGUUUCCGAUUCUGUGUCUCCCUCUCUCUCUGACCCUCCCCCGUUCAUGCUGUCUCUGUCUCAAAAAUAAACAUUAAAAAAUAAAUAAAGCGUAUGGCUCAAUACCACACAGUACAUUCACAAUGUUUUACAACCAACACCCCUAUUUCCAAAACCUUUUCAUCAUCCCACAUCCAUCAGAUAGUCCAUCCUCAUUCCCCAUGACCUUGGCAACCACUCAUCUAAUUCACAUCCGUAUGGACAUAACGGUCCUGGAUAUUUCAUAUCCAUGAAAUCACAUGUGAUCUUCUGUGUCCAGCUUCUUUCACUCAGCAGGUUUUUGCGGUUCAUGCACUCUGUAGCGUUUAUCAGUAGUUCACGGUUAUGGCUGAAUAAUAUUCCAUUGUGUGGAUAAGCCACACUUUGGUUAUCCACUCAUUAGCUGAUGUACAACUGGGUUGUUUCUACGUUUUAACUAAUGUAAAUGGCUAUGUAAGUACAGAACUACGAUAAAUAUUCAUGUUCAAGUAUUCGUUUGAGUACCUGUUUUCAAUUCUUUUGGGUACAUAUGUAGGAGUAGACUAUCUGGCGCCCCUCAUAAUUCUAGAUUUAACUGUUUGAAAAACCACCAAACUGUUUUCCACAGCAGCUGUGCCAUUCUGCUACCAGCAACGUACAAGGGUUCCAAUGUCUCCCUAUCUUCACCAACAUAUGUGAUUUUCUGUUUUCUGAUUCAUUUGCAUGUGACAUCCGUCACUCAACACAAUACUCCAGGUGUUGUCUGGACGGUACAGAAUAACGUAAGACUAACACCUUUCCUCUUCUGAACCUCCUCCUGUUAAGUCCCGACUAGGAAUCUAUGCAGGCUUUCUCGUAGUCCCAUUACAUUUUAUAUCCAGAUGGAGUUUAUUACAGUAAUUAAAAUACCUAAGUUGUUUGUAUUCAACCACAUCUCCCUCACUCCUAUAGUUAUGCAGAUGUUUUCUCAACUCAUAUACAGGACUUCAUAUCAAACUCCUUUAAGUUAUCAUGGUAGCCUUGGCCCACCAUUUCAGUCAGAAAUAUUUUUUAAAGUUACCCCUAAAAAAUACAUUUCAUCCAAAAAUGUGAUAAGCGUCGUAUCAAUGUUUUUAUUCACAUUACAAAAAUAUGGACAGCAGCCUUCAGCAAUAGGAAUUUUUCUCCAGUUGUCACGAAUUCCCUAUUACUAAUUUUUAUUUAUUUUUUUUAUCUUUAUUUAUUUUUGAGAGCGAGAGAGCGAGAGUGCGAGCGGGGGAGGAACAGAGACAGAGGGAGACACAGAAUCCGAAGCAGGCUCCAGGUUCCAAGCUGGCAGCACAGAGCCCGACGCGGCGUUCGAACCCACGAACCGCGAGAUCAUGACCUGAGCUGAAGUCGGACACUCAACCUACUAAGCCACCCAGGU
Molecule: long non-coding RNA, 3140 nt
Organism: Neofelis nebulosa (Clouded leopard)
Lineage: Eukaryota; Metazoa; Chordata; Mammalia; Carnivora; Felidae
Exons: 3
Source: RefSeq, a predicted model, not a curated record